Molecule: unclassified non-coding RNA, 375 nt
Filed under: uncultured bacterium
Lineage: Bacteria
Description: contains 16S-23S intergenic spacer region
Source: RNAcentral
UCCGAGUUGACCCCGGCAGUCUCCUUAGAGUCCCCAACUUAACUUGCUGGCAACUAAGGACAAGGGUUGCGCUCGUUACGGGACUUAACCCAACAUCUCACAACACGAGCUGACGACAGCCAUGCAGCACCUGUCUCUGCGCUCCUUUCGGCACUCCCAACUCUCAUCGGGAUUCGCAGGAUGUCAAGGGUAGGUAAGGUUCUUCGCGUUGCAUCGAAUUAAACCACAUGCUCCACCGCUUGUGCGGGCCCCCGUCAAUUCCUUUGAGUUUCAAUCUUGCGAUCGUACUUCCCAGGUGGAUUACUUAAUGCUUUCGCUCAGACACCAACAGUGUAUCGCUGAUGUCGAGUAAUCAUCGUUUAGGGCGUGGACUAC